GUUUCACAGAUGCGUGCCACAGGUAGUGGGCACUAGGUCAAGAAGUGAGAUUUGUCAGGCUGAAGAGGACAGAAAGAACAUUCUUCUACCUUAUUUAUUUUUAAUUGAAGAUGCUAUACGAGCAUUUGCCAAAUUAUUCAAGGGAGAGCCAUAAUUAGGCAAUGCCAGGGGGAGAGAAAACCAAGGUGACAGGAUCUGGGCCAUAGAAGUGGAGUGGAUAUUGUUUGGGGACCCUCUUGAAGACACAGGACAAAGUGAGAGCGGUUUGUCCUGCCGUAUCAGAUACGGGGAAGUAAAUGGAGCAGGAACCUUUGAUUAGCACCUUCCAAAGCAGCACACGGCAGGCUGUCCGUAACCUG
Felis catus (domestic cat) is the source of this 359-nucleotide long non-coding RNA. RefSeq lists it as uncharacterized. The record is from RefSeq and is a predicted model, not a curated record. The transcript has 4 exons. NCBI's taxonomy places the organism in Eukaryota, Metazoa, Chordata, Mammalia, Carnivora, Felidae.